GAACUUAAAUACUUAAGGUGGAAAAACUAAAGAAAUCUCAACUUCCAAGUUGGUGAUUUAAUAAAACUUAAUACUACUAUAGGAGCUUCAGAGCAAAGGAGGUGGCUUAAUGAUCCUGAAGGGAUUUCUUCUGGUGGUAGCUUUUGUAUUAUCAAGUAAGAUUCUUUUUUCGGCUGUAUAUAAGCAAGAUUGUUUGGUUUAUUCUUUUCUUUUUUAGCGUAGGAAAAGUUUGUUGUUAAGGUAUGCUUCAAAAUUAUUGUUAAUUGUAUUUUGAAUUUACAUCUAAGCCUUGUAAAUCAUAACUGAUAAGAGGGGGUGGGCUUUUGUUGAUGAGGGAGGGGAAACCUUUUUUUUUUGUAGACUUUUUUCAGAUAACAUCUUCUGAGUCAUAACCAGCCUGGCAAUCUGAUGGCCUAGAUGGAGAGGGGAACAGCUCCUUGGUGAAUGAUAAGUAAAGGCAGAAAAGAUUGUAUUUCAUACCUACAUUGGGGAAAAAAGCAUAACCCUGAGAUUUUCUUCUGAUGAACACAUUGUCUGCACAUGCAAAAAAAAAAGCAAAUGAAAACUACCAAUUUAAAGUUAAUGGAAUCUACUACUAUAAAGUUAAUGGCUUAUCAAGCUGUAUCCACAAAAAUAAUGAAUUGAUGAAAAAUAAAAAUAACGAUACAAUGAAGAUCAAAAUGUCAAUCUCAAUACUGCUUUUACAAAAGCAGAAUUAAAAAAGCGAAAUGAAAAUAGCGCUACAUAUUAAUCCUGGAAAAAAAAGAAGCUGAAAUAAUUGAAAUGAGUGGGAUCAAGUGAAUUGAGAGGAGGAAGAGGCUGUGCUGUUUGCCAAUCUUUCGUUUGCCUCAGACAGGUUUUUCUUCAUUAUCAGAAGAGUUGCUUCAUUUCAUCUGGGAGCAGAAAACAGCAGGCAGCUGUUAACAGAUAAGUUUAACUUGCAUCUGCAGUAUUGCAUGUUAGGAAUAAGUGCUUACCUUUGUGAAGAGCUGUGGAAGUCCUAGGUCCCUUACCUAAGGGAUUCCAGGAUUGUGAGGCAUCGUCCCAUCCAGCCUUUUAAAAUUAGACAGGACAGCGUUCCUGUGGGCUUUGAUGAUGGGACAGCACAUUUCAUUCAAGAGGCAAGUAAUUCCUUAAAGCCUCUUGAGAUUAGCAAAGAUAAUGUUUAUAAAACUAAGAACAUUUGUUUAGCCUUGAAUCUGACAGCCCUAUUUAAGGGAUAGUAUUGUACUGUUAAGAAUUCAGAUUUUGUUAAUCUUGCUAAAAUUCAAAUGUUACGUGUAUUGUGCAGAAAACCAUUAAAUCAUUCAAAAUAAAAUACUUUUAUUUUUAGAGAAUGUAUGCUUUUAGGAAGCUGUCUCCUUAUUUAAAUAAAACAUUGUUUGUCUGUAGUUAGUGUUGGGGCAAUCUGGGGGGGGUUUCUUCUCAUCUUUCAGAAACUUUGUCUGCGAACACUCUUUAAUGGACAAGAUCAGGAAAUUGAGCAGAAGAACGAAUUUAAUUUAAGGCAGGAAAAAAUUUUGUCCUUCGUAAAAGUGAUGAGCAUUUAAUAAUUCCAGGCACAUGGCAAUAGAGGCCCUCUAAAUAAGGAAUAAAUACCUCUUAGACAGGUGGGAGAUUAUGAUCAGAAGAACAGGUAACUUAACUCCUACAAUGUUUGCAGAAAGUCAGGAGUCUGUCUAGUGGUUAAACUAGAGUAAUGGAAUGUACUGUCCACAUUUCCAGUUUGCAUGUUAACUUUGCUUAGUCAUCUCAUCUGGUGUUAGCCAGUGUUCACACUGUUGGCCUACUUUUUAGAUACCUGGUGGGGGGGUGGUUG
Long non-coding RNA from Bos taurus (domestic cattle), 1819 nucleotides. The record is from Ensembl. Lineage: Eukaryota; Metazoa; Chordata; Mammalia; Artiodactyla; Bovidae.